AUUGAACGCUGGCGGAAUGCUUUACACAUGCAAGUCGAACGGUAGAGGGGGCAACCCCUCGAGAGUGGCGAACGGGUGAGUAAUAUAUCGGAACGUGCCCAGUCGUGGGGGAUAACGUAGCGAAAGUUACGCUAAUACCGCAUACGAUCUAAGGAUGAAAGCGGGGGAUCGCAAGACCUCGCGCGAUUGGAGCGGCCGAUAUCAGAUUAGGUAGUUGGUGGGGUAAAGGCUCACCAAGCCAACGAUCUGUAGCUGGUCUGAGAAGACUACCAGCCACACUGGAACUGCGACACGGUCCAGAAUCCUACGGGAGGCAGCAGUGGGGAAUUUUGGAAAAUGGACGCAAGUCUGAUCCAGCCAUUCCGCGUGCAGGAUGAAGGCCCUCGGGUUGUAAACUGCUUUUGUACGGAACGAAAAGGUCUCUCUUAAUACGGGGGGCUCAUGACGGUACCGUAAGAAUAAGCACCGGCUAACUACGUGCCAGCCGCCGCAGUAA
RNAcentral lists this ribosomal RNA (496 nucleotides) under uncultured bacterium. RNAcentral's name for it is "partial 16S ribosomal RNA". It matches the Rfam family "Bacterial small subunit ribosomal RNA", at positions 30 to 523 of the family's 1533-position model. The record is from RNAcentral.